GCCCAAAACUGAUGAAGAGGGCUGGGCGGAGAGCUGAUAUAUACAGGAGCCAGGAAGAGGAGACGACCGACUAGGAGUUCUUUCUUCCUUGUUCUACCAUUCAAACACCUGUUCCCUGUACAGUGAUAUAUCCAUUGCUCUUUUUAAAGAAACAAAAUACUUGUAUUAUAGAAAGUAGAAAUGGAUCUUUCAAUCCCUUCGUCUUUCUCUGAAAUCUCUUCAUCUCGAUCUCUCUCUCAACCAUCUUUCCAGAAGCUCAGAUUAUUUCCUGUUAUCUGUAACUUCAAUCUCAAAUCCAGAAAGUUCCCCACUCGAUCCUUGUUUUGGCGCCAAAAUUGUCUCUCUCUCAGAGCUCAAACUUCUAACGGGGCGCUUAACGAUGGCUUCGUCCUCGAAGAUGUUCCUCACUUGACAGAUUACCUUCCUGAUCUUCCUACUUAUUCCAAUCCGCUACAAGACAAUCCUGCAUACUCGGUUGUUAAGCAGUACUUUGUCCAUGUGGAUGACACUGUUCCUCAAAAGGUCAGCUUUCCCUUAAUUUUCAUGGAUAAAGAUAUGCAGUGUGCAUGUUCUGCACGCAUUAUUCUCUAUAGAAUGAAGUUAUUUAGAGAAAUUGCAUUAUAGAUGUGGUACUUCAUUAAGGAGAAUGAAUGUGUUUUUGCUGAAGUAGUUGUCUCAAUGACUGGGUUCUUUUAGCUAUAACAUGUUCGGGUGCAGUCGUGGUUUGUUCUAUAUCAAUAUUUAUGAUUGGCUUUAUGGAGUUAGCUGUUGGUUGCACCUUAAAUACCAUAAGUUUGUUAAGAGUUGGACAUAAUUUAACAUAUGGGGCUAUAGGAGAUGAGCUAAAAUUCUAGAAAACUAGAAUGUAAUCCUUUUGUUGUAAUUUUGUCUUCCCUUCUUUUUAGAUUGUUGUGCACAAGGAUGGUCCAAGAGGGAUACAUUUCCGACGCGCUGGACCACGCCAAAAGGUUUAUUUUGAAUCAGAUGAAGUUCAUGCUUGCAUUGUAACAUGUGGGGGUCUCUGCCCUGGACUCAACACUGUGAUUAGGGAACUAGUAUGUGGUUUGCACCAUAUGUAUGGCGUGAAGAGAGUGCUGGGAAUUGAUGGUGGUUACAGGGGAUUUUAUGCUCGAAAUACCAUUAACCUGACACCUAAAGUUGUAAAUGAUAUUCAUAAACGUGGUGGGACCAUCCUUGGGACAUCACGAGGCGGCCAUGACACUGCAAAGAUAGUUGAUAGCAUUCAGGAUCGAGGAAUUAAUCAGGUUUACAUAAUAGGAGGGGAUGGAACUCAAAAAGGGGCAUCAGUGAUAUUUGAGGAAAUUAGAAGAAGAGGUCUCAAAGUUGCAGUUGCUGGAAUUCCCAAAACCAUUGAUAAUGACAUUCCAGUUAUUGACAAAUCCUUUGGUUUUGACACUGCUGUUGAGGAAGCUCAACGUGCUAUUAAUGCAGCACAUGUUGAAGCUGAGAGUAUCGAGAAUGGUAUUGGUCUUGUGAAGUUAAUGGGUCGUAAUAGUGGAUUUAUUGCAAUGUACGCUACUCUUGCAAGCCGAGAUGUCGAUUGUUGCUUGAUACCAGAGUCACCCUUUUAUCUUGAAGGGGAAGGUGGUCUUUUUGAUUACAUAGAGAAACGACUCAAAGAAAAUGGCCACAUGGUUAUUGUGAUAGCUGAAGGUGCUGGGCAAGAGUUGCUUUCUCAGACCAUCCAAUCAACUCAGCAGGAUGCUUCAGGAAACAAACUUCUCCAAGAUGUUGGUUUGUGGAUAUCACAGAGGAUCAAGGAUUAUUUUUCAAAGCAGAAGAAGAUGACCAUAAACCUCAAAUAUAUAGAUCCUACAUACAUGAUCCGUGCUAUUCCAAGCAAUGCAUCUGACAAUGUGUACUGCACACUUCUUGCUCAAAGUGUUGUGCAUGGAGCAAUGGCUGGAUACACUGGCUUUACAAGUGGUCUUGUUAAUGGCAGACAAACUUACAUACCCUUUUAUCGAAUCAUUGAGAAGCAGAACAAGGUAGUUAUAACAGAUAGGAUGUGGGCUAGGCUUCUGUCUUCAACAAAUCAGCCUAGUUUUUGGAGUGCUAAAGAUUGCAUUGAAGACAAGAAAGAGGAUAUUGCCAAAGUCAAGGAGGAGGAAGAACCGGAAAACCGGUUAAUGGAUAAUGGGAAUUGUGCCAGCGAUAUUGUGGCAAAGAAAGAGGUCAGCUACAUGUGAUUGAGAUUGAAACCAUAAUAGUCUAUAAGAUUGUUACUAUCAUUGCAUUGCCUACCAUGUAUCUUGGUUAUGUUAGAUUAAUGAUAUUAUGAGUGAGUUCUGCCCUUCGGUUUAUUUCAGGGUACUUGGAAAUGGUAGUAUUCUUUGCUGAGAUACAAUAGUUUUGGUCAUGAAUAAUGGCAAAGUUGAAUGAGAAAAAUUAACUCAAUGCACUGUAUUGUAUGAUGACUUGAUUUAAAUUAUUACAACUUUUAUUUUGUCAUUUAAUUCCUAAUAUGGCAUGAAAAUGAGAAGCAAAACAGCACCUGAAGACCUCAUCAAAUGUUGUGGUGGCAGUGUGGGUGGUGGGUAUGAAAAAGAUGUGGAUAGUUCAAAAAAUGCUGUGGUCAUUUUCUUCUAUGACAGUUGCUGCAGAACAGUUGACUUUAAAUCGAGUGAGUUGAUAAUGGGGCCUGAAACUCAAGGCUGAACAUGUUUCAUGCCUCAUCAACUUUGGAUCAUUUAACAAUCUGCAUUAUAUUCUGGCAAGUUAACGUCAUAUUGCAAAAGUAGAAACAUGUGCUUCCAGGAAUCGGGUUUCCCUGGAUAGCAAGUCAGGGUAAACAUUUGUAAUUUUUAC
RNAcentral lists this unclassified non-coding RNA (2829 nucleotides) under Hevea brasiliensis (rubber tree). The record is from RNAcentral. Lineage: Eukaryota; Viridiplantae; Streptophyta; Magnoliopsida; Malpighiales; Euphorbiaceae.